GACGAACGCUGGCGGCGUGCUUAACACAUGCAAGUCGAACGGAAAGGCCCUGCUUUUGUGGGGUGCUCGAGUGGCGAACGGGUGAGUAACACGUGAGUAACCUGCCCUUGACUUUGGGAUAACUUCAGGAAACUGGGGCUAAUACCGGAUAGGAGCUCCUGCUGCAUGGUGGGGGUUGGAAAGUUUCGGCGGUUGGGGAUGGACUCGCGGCUUAUCAGCUUGUUGGUGGGGUAGUGGCUUACCAAGGCUUUGACGGGUAGCCGGCCUGAGAGGGUGACCGGCCACAUUGGGACUGAGAUACGGCCCAGACUCCUACGGGAGGCAACAGUGGGGAAUAUUGCACAAUGGGCGGAAGCCUGAUGCAGCAACGCCGCGUGCGGGAUGACGGCCUUCGGGUUGUAAACCGCUUUCGCCUGUGACGAAGAGUGAGUGACGGUAAUGGGUAAAGAAGCACCGGCUAACUACGUG
Molecule: ribosomal RNA, 468 nt
Filed under: uncultured bacterium
Lineage: Bacteria
Description: partial 16S ribosomal RNA
Rfam family: Bacterial small subunit ribosomal RNA
Source: RNAcentral